UCAUCCUGGUAACAGAAGCUGGCUUAGAGAAGCCGUCGAAGCGCACCGAAAGAGUUUUCUUUUCUGUUUUAUAGUCGUAUUACCAUGGAAGUCUUUCGAAGAGAGAUAUGGUAAAUGGACUAGAAGAGCAUGGCCUAUAUUGCUGUGUCGUGUGCGUCUUCCUCGGACCUUGAAAAUCUAAGCCAGGGCCACGUAAACAUUCUCAAUAGACCGUACCAAUAUCCGCAGCAGGUCUCCAAGGUUAAAAGUCUCUAGUCGAUAGAAUAAUGUAGGUAAGGGAAGUCGGCAAAUUAGAUCCGUAACUUCGGGAUAAGGAUUGGCUCUGAAGAUUGAGAUGUGUCGGGCUUGUGGUGGGAACUAUUAUAAACUGUAUUGCUAAAGUGUCAGAGUAGUCGUUGGCUUUCGGGUCGAUGGCAAAAUGAUGUGAUUACGCGAUACGAGAUAGGGAACCCGCAAGCUAUGCCAUGCAUCGUUAAGGGGGCGUAGCAAUACGUCUCUGAUGCAUGGAUUAACAACGACCAUCAACAAACAAUCAAUUCAGAACUGGCACGGACAAGGGAAAUCCGACUGUCUAAUUAAAACAAAGCAUUGUGAUGGCCCCAACGGGUGUUGACACAAUGUGAUUUCUGCCCAUUGCUUUGAAUGUCAAAGUGAAG
This 656-nucleotide ribosomal RNA is filed under the name Pseudopedinella elastica. RNAcentral describes it as "partial Eukaryotic large subunit ribosomal RNA". It matches the Rfam family "Eukaryotic large subunit ribosomal RNA", at positions 1637 to 2227 of the family's 3401-position model. The record is from RNAcentral. Lineage: Eukaryota; Dictyochophyceae; Pedinellales.